AUGACCUCCCAGAUUUGUCAGAAUUAUUCCACCUAGGUGGAGGCUGCCGUCCACCGCCUGGUUAAUUUGCAUCUGCGCACCUCCUACACCUACCUCUCUUUGGGCUACUAUUCCGACCCUGACAAUGUGGCUCUGGAGGGCGUGGGCCACUUCUUCCGCGAGUUGGCUGAGGAAAAGCACGAGGCCUCUGAGCGUCUCCUGAAGAUGCAAAACCAGCGCAGCGGCCGCGCCCUCUUCCAGGACGUGCAGAAACCUUCUCAAGAUGAGUGGGGCAACACCCUGGACGCCAUGGAAGCUGCCUUGGCUCUGGAGAAGAACCUGAACCAAGCCAUUUUGGAUCUUCAUGCCUUGGGUUCUACCCGCACAGAUCCACAUCUCUGUGACUUUCUGGAGAACCACUUCCUUGAUGAGGAGGUGAAGCUCAUCAAGAAGAUGGGGGACCACUUGACUAACCUCCACCGUCUGGCGGGCCCCCAGGCUGGCCUGGGCGAGUAUCUUUCCAAAGACUCACCCUCAAGCAUGACUACAGGCCCUGGAGUACAGUGGCCUUUGAUGGGGCUUCUUUGCAUCUCCUGGCAUCGGGGCUUUGGCCUGAGCCUCUCCCUCUAACCCCUAGGCAGCUUUUUUAACCACCAUGGAGCCCCUCCCAAGCCUUGGACCAAAUAAAAAUUAAAGCUUUUU
Marmota flaviventris (yellow-bellied marmot) is the source of this 681-nucleotide non-coding RNA. NCBI's taxonomy places the organism in Eukaryota, Metazoa, Chordata, Mammalia, Rodentia, Sciuridae. The record is from RefSeq and is a predicted model, not a curated record.